Molecule: long non-coding RNA, 204 nt
Filed under: Carica papaya (papaya)
Lineage: Eukaryota; Viridiplantae; Streptophyta; Magnoliopsida; Brassicales; Caricaceae
Description: long non-coding RNA (CPAP_LNC012408)
Source: RNAcentral
UUCAUGCAAACUUGUUCUGACUUCCAUCUACUGAGGGCAAUAUGAAUUCCCGACUAUCUAUGUGGAAUGACAAAUUUAUUUCAUAUUAUAUCAGCAAUUUGUCGCUUGCCAAACCAUGACACGAUCUAUAACCACGACCAUGCCAACCACAGUGGUCCUAUAUGUAAAUUAUUGUCACAGUCGUACUUCGCCAAAGGUGACCUC